UGGAAGCUAAGCGUCCUGCCUCCUCUGCUGCUUUGCUCUCCGCGAGUCUCGCCUCUGCUCCGGGGGGCGCGGAGCGAGCGGCUCCGAGGCUCUGCCGCCGGCGGCUUGGCGGUGUGUUCAUUCAUUGACUGGGCCCCCAUCCCCCCACCUGCUGUCUGGGAACCUGCCCUCCUGUUUCUGAGACCACGUCCGGCGUGGGAAGAAGUCUUGAUUGGUUUUCAUGGAUGGCAGGCGCCAUUCUUCACGCUUCUCACCCUUCUAUUGAAAUGGCAGUGAAAACGCAAGUGGAGGAAGCACUGAUAAAGGGGCAGCAAAGGCUACAGGAGACCAGAGUCGCCGACUGGUGGUCAAACAUGACGAUCUCUUGUACCUGAAGCAACUUGAGGAUUUUGGCAUCCUAAGAGGCGCUGUGGGACUUGAAAGCAGUGGAAAAUUUGCCAGAGAUGAUAGGAAAGAUGGUCAUCAAAUGAAUAUCCCCUGGCUUGCCCGGUGACCAGAGCCAUAACCUUCAGUGGCCACCUUGGCACUGGAACAGGCUGCAGAGCUCGCCCUUCCUCAAACCAGUCCUCACGUCCCCACAUUGUUUUGCUUAGUUGUUUUAUGUGGUUUCUGGCCUGAUCGUUUUCUUGUUUGUCUGUUUUUUGUUUCGUUUUGUUUUUUGUGGGGGUGCAGCAGAAACUCCCCAGGUAGCUGGGAAGUUCGUGGAAUCUUCCUGUUGGCACAGCGUUCACUGUGGCUUGUGUUACAGUGUGGCACGAGCGUGACCAGGUGUUUCUCAGCCGUCCUGUCACCUACACAGCACCCUGCAGCUUGACUUCUGAAAGUCGAGAGAAGCAGGUUUGAACAACUGUUUUGUGUCGCAUAGAAAGGACAUUUCGUUCGAUAACAGGAACAUAGCUUUUGUGCUAAUAAAAAUGCUUUAAAAAUUAG
This is a long non-coding RNA of Equus quagga, 930 nucleotides long. RefSeq lists it as uncharacterized. The record is from RefSeq and is a predicted model, not a curated record. The transcript is spliced from 2 exons. Lineage: Eukaryota; Metazoa; Chordata; Mammalia; Perissodactyla; Equidae.